UACGAAGGGGGCUAGCGUUAUUCGGAAUUACUGGGCGUAAAGCGUGCGCAGGCGGCUUCUCAAGUCAGGGGUGAAAGCCCAGAGCUCAACUCUGGAAUUGCCUUUGAGACUGAGUGGCUUGAGUACGGGAGAGGUGAGUGGAAUUCCCAGUGUAGAGGUGAAAUUCGUAGAUAUUGGGAAGAACACCGGUGGCGAAGGCGGCUCACUGGCCCGUAACUGACGCUCAUGCACGACAGCGUGGGGAUCAAACAGG
Molecule: ribosomal RNA, 253 nt
Filed under: uncultured bacterium
Lineage: Bacteria
Description: partial 16S ribosomal RNA
Rfam family: Bacterial small subunit ribosomal RNA
Source: RNAcentral